UUUACGUUAUUGUGAAAUGUACGUAGUGUGUGACAAUUUCUAAAUCACACUAAGAUAGUGUUACAAACCAAUGCAUAUUUGAGCUUUGCACAUAUAUUUGUGGCAUAAAAUGCGAUUGAAGUGGUAUUAGAAUUCUUCUAGAAACAAGAUGGGUAUCAAAAUAGGUGAGAACGUGGAGGAUGUCGAAUUUAUACCUUUAUCAAUCGGGGAAAAGAAAAAAAAAUACAUAUACCUCUUGCAAUAUCUAGCUAGGUUAAGAUGAUAUGAUACAUCGGAGAAAACUAAAAAAAAUAUUAAGAAUUAAAUUCAGUUUACCCCCUUGUUGUUCAGGUGUGACUUCUUCUGAGGAUCUCAAGCAAGUUUAGCUAGCCGGUAAGUUAACUGGUCUUUGGCUUUGUUGUCAUGUGUUGUUCUGGGCUUCUAGCACUAUCUUUGUACUGGUUAUAUUGAUUCUAUUUGUCUAAAACAUGAGCAUCUCUUAGGUUCACGAUUAGCAUAGGAACACAAACUUAAUAUGCAUUUGGUAGGUUGUUACAAAUAUAUAGUACUUUUUUAAUGCAUUGGUGGGAUAAUUUGAUUCUUCGAGUCUUUAGAUGCCUAAACCAGUACAUUACUAAGAGAAUGGAUACUAAUAGAUUACAUGAUUUUACUCUUUUAAAUCCUGGAGCUGGUUUUAGCUAGCUAUGGAAUUCUUACACUUCAGUGUUUACUUUAGAGGCUGUUUGCUUGUCAUGUAUGUGAUUGAUACUAAAUGUUGGUGUUCUUUAUAUAGGUGAAAAUUGGUGGAUUGGUGAAAAUUGACUCAUUCCUGUAAGUGACAGACUGACAGUUGUGAUUGACAGAAUUGUAAAGCAUUUAGCAACUCUUAUAUCUUCUGCUACUUUAGGAUUCGAUCAUCUUUGUUUUGUAGCUAUUGGCACUCUAUGUCCUUCCAAAUUUUGUUUCAGUGGCAUGAUCAAGAACUAAAUGAUCAUGGAAGUGACACGGUUGGUUACCAUUGACUACAAAUUGUAAACCGUUGUUUAGUGACUUUUAUGUCAUCUUUGUUCAUAUCUUAUCGGCACUUUGCGUUCCCCAGUUUUAUUUUCUUUCAAUUGCCCUGGUCAAGAACUAAUUGAUUGCUUAGUUAGAUUAUGUUCCUAGCUUACUGUUAACUGGAGCCUAGAUUACAUCCCCAUAACCUGCUGCUCAUCCAGGGCUUCAAAUUAGAGCCUUCACCCUCCUAUAGUCUUUAGCCCCUUGUGAGAAGCAAAACUCUAGCAAGUAACAAGGUAGUUGCAGUCAAGUUAGUUUCAGAUAGAAUUUUAUGUUGUUAUACUGGCAGUAUCACAAACUGUAGGGGGUUUGAAAGAGUUGAACGAGUCUGGACACACUAGCAGUUAGAAGAAAGCUCCAUUGAUUAGUGAACAAC
RNAcentral lists this long non-coding RNA (1411 nucleotides) under Fragaria vesca (wild strawberry). RNAcentral's name for it is "long non-coding RNA (FVES_LNC003252)". The record is from RNAcentral. Lineage: Eukaryota; Viridiplantae; Streptophyta; Magnoliopsida; Rosales; Rosaceae.